Molecule: ribosomal RNA, 429 nt
Filed under: uncultured bacterium
Lineage: Bacteria
Description: bacterial SSU rRNA
Rfam family: Bacterial small subunit ribosomal RNA
Source: RNAcentral
GAGUUUGAUCCUGGCUCAGAUUGAACGCUGGCGGCAGGCCUAACACAUGCAAGUCGAGCGGUAGAGAGAAGCUUGCUUCUCUUGAGAGCGGCGGACGGGUGAGUAAUGCCUAGGAAUCUGCCUGGUAGUGGGGGAUAACGCUCGGAAACGGACGCUAAUACCGCAUACGUCCUACGGGAGAAAGCAGGGGACCUUCGGGCCUUGCGCUAUCAGAUGAGCCUAGGUCGGAUUAGCUAGUUGGUGAGGUAAUGGCUCACCAAAGGCGACGAUCCGUAACUGGUCUGAGAGGAUGAUCAGUCACACUGGAACUGAGACACGGUCCAGACUCCUACGGGAGGCAGCAGUGGGGAAUAUUGGACAAUGGGCGAAAGCCUGAUCCAGCCAUGCCGCGUGUGUGAAGAAGGGUCUUCGGAUUGUAAAGCACUUUAA